RNAcentral lists this ribosomal RNA (362 nucleotides) under uncultured bacterium. RNAcentral describes it as "bacterial SSU rRNA". It matches the Rfam family "Bacterial small subunit ribosomal RNA", at positions 28 to 350 of the family's 1533-position model. The record is from RNAcentral.
GAUGAACGCUGGCGGCGUGCCUAAUACAUGCAAGUCGAACGCAUUGUGGUUGAAAUGAUAUGAAGAACUUGUUCAGAUUUGAUUUUCAACAUUGCAAUGAGUGGCGAACGGGUGAGUAACACGUGGGAAACCUACCUCUUAGCAGGGGAUAACAUUUGGAAACAAAUGCUAAUACCGUAUAAUAAUUAAAACCGCAUGGUUUUAGUUUAAAAGAUGGUCUUGCUAUCACUAAGAGAUGGUCCCGCGGUGUAUUAGUUAGUUGGUGAGGUAAUGGCUCACCAAGACAAUGAUACAUAGCCGAGUUAGAGAGACUGACCGGCCACAAUGGGACUGAGACACGGCCCAUACUCCUACGGGAGGCA